RNAcentral lists this transfer RNA (66 nucleotides) under Cordylochernes scorpioides. RNAcentral's name for it is "tRNA-Gly". The stretch from base 5 to 58 matches the Rfam family "tRNA", at positions 10 to 63 of the family's 71-position model. Rfam says of the family: Transfer RNA (tRNA) molecules are approximately 80 nucleotides in length. Their secondary structure includes four short double-helical elements and three loops (D, anti-codon, and T loops). The record is from RNAcentral. Lineage: Eukaryota; Metazoa; Arthropoda; Arachnida; Pseudoscorpiones; Chernetidae.
GACUAUUCAGUGGUAGAAUGCUCGCCUGCCACGCGUGUGGCCCGGGUUCGAUUCCCGGCUGAUGCA